CCUACGGGAGGCAGCAGUGAGGAAUAUUGGACAAUGGGCGCAAGCCUGAUCCAGCCAUGCCGCGUGCAGGAUGACGGUCCUAUGGAUUGUAAACUGCUUUUAUACGAGAAGAAACACCCCUACGUGUAGGGACUUGACGGUAUCGUAAGAAUAAGGAUCGGCUAACUCCGUGCCAGCAGCCGCGGUAAUACGGAGGAUCCAAGCGUUAUCCGGAAUCAUUGGGUUUAAGGGUCCGUAGGCGGUUUAGUAAGUCAGUGGUGAAAUCUCCCCGCUCAACGGGGAAACGGCCAUUGAUACUGCUAGACUUGAAUUAUUAGGAAGUAACUAGAAUAUGUAGUGUAGCGGUGAAAUGCUUAGAGAUUACAUGGAAUACCAAUUGCGAAGGCAGGUUACUACUAAUGGAUUGACGCUGAUGGACGAAAGCGUGGGUAGCGAACAGGAUUAGAUACCCUGGUAGUCCACGCCGUAAACGAUGGAUACUAGCUGUUGGGUGCAAACUCAGUGGCUAAGCGAAAGUGAUAAGUAUCCACCUGGGGAGUACGUUCGCAAGAAUUGAAACUCAAAGGAUUGACGGCNGAGAGNGCGACGACGACGACGAGGGAGGAGG
RNAcentral lists this ribosomal RNA (607 nucleotides) under uncultured bacterium. RNAcentral describes it as "bacterial SSU rRNA". It matches the Rfam family "Bacterial small subunit ribosomal RNA", at positions 338 to 951 of the family's 1533-position model. The record is from RNAcentral.